Molecule: long non-coding RNA, 1563 nt
Organism: Pezoporus occidentalis (night parrot)
Lineage: Eukaryota; Metazoa; Chordata; Aves; Psittaciformes; Psittacidae
Exons: 3
Source: RefSeq, a predicted model, not a curated record
AGAUUUCUCUUUUAUUGUAUAAUGUUGUAUUAUUUCUAUAGUUUGGAGUACAAAGUCAGAUUCCACUGGCCAAUUAUUGUACUGGCUUUCUGUAGGCAGUAGACCUUGUCCUUAAAACUUCAGCAGCAAGUUAAGAACUAAAGUGCUAACAGAGGCAUGCCCAAAACUUCCAUACUCAUAAAGCAAAUUCUAAAACAUAAGUGCUAAGUCAUCAGGCUGGACUGGAAGUUAUCUGUAGAAAAUGUUAUGGACAGUAGUACAGAUUAAGCCCCGUUCCUCCAUCAAAGCUAUGUCCUGCAGUUGUAUUUGAAGAGACAGCUGAAUCAUUUUCCUGGAUUUAGAAAGUUCAGUCAGUAUUUUCUUAUGAAAUGAGAGCAGAAAAGGAAGUCUUGCAACCAGUUUUAAUCUCGGGAUUCAGUAAUCAAGCAAGAUACUCACUCACUUUGGAGACUGACCAUGUCUUUAUCCUUCCACUGCCUGAGGUAACAUAAACUGAUACCUUCUUGGACAUCAUCUUAAACUAUAAUGUCAUUUGAGAUAUGACACAGAUAACUAAAUAUUCAUGAAUAUAUAUAAAGAGAAAUAAUGACCAUAAAGGCAAUAAUGGCUAAAGAAACAUCCUCCGAGAUCUGGCCAUGGAAAGUGUGCCAUGGAUUUUGAUGGAAUGUUGAAUGUGCCAUAUGGAUGUGUGCAUUGUCGAGGACUGGAUUCUUCUCUCAGAGAUGGUGGGUGGGAGAUAAGUACACAACAUUCAGGGCUGAACAUCAUUUCACCAUCUCUUUUUCUGUGUUCUAUUUUGGUUCCGUUAUAGAUGGGCUUUGGCUUCCUGCACAUUCGGACAGUGUCUUUGUAUUCAUCCUGGGUUGUGUGAUCCUGACACUUGGAUGAUUCGUUUUUACAUGAUCCUGAGCUGCAUCAUCUUGUGGUUACCGCAAGGCUAUGCCCAGCUUUCACAUCUCAAACUAGUACUGCCUUGUUUGUAACUAUCAGGUCCAGGAGAGGAAUAGAACCAAGAUGCUAGUAAAAUUUACCAGAGUAAAAUGCAUGUUUAGAGCACAGGCUUGUUUUCCAGAAGGGUCAAACAUUACUGGAUAAUGAAUGAUGAAGCACAGCAGCAAGAUAGGAGCUGUACAUGUCUGAUAUUUGUGCUUUUUCCUUUAGGUUCAGAAUAUUGGUUUUGUUGGUCUUGACUGUGGCACAGGUUCACUGGUAAGUACAGCUAAACACUUCCUGAAUUUGAGGAAUAAGUUUGAAGACGUUUUGCAACAUUUGUGAGAUACCAAGUGAAGGUGAUGGAAUAAUGAUUGUGCCCUAUAUAGCACUUUUAAAAAUUGAUCUUCUGUAUAUAUGAAGUUAUUAAAAGAUGAUACAGCAUAGAAAAGGGAUGUCUAGUAUUUAGCAUAAUUUCUGUGAUGUGAAUGAGGCAGGGAAUUGUUGAAAUAAUAGUAAGUGAUAAUGUGACGAUUUGAAUAUAUAUUCAGGCAGUGUGAGCACUGUGCCUGCAAUGCUACAUUAAGAAUUUGCAUUUUUUUUUCAAGUAUUCAUUUCAAGAGGGGAUUUUUU